GACGGGUGAGUAACUGCGUAAGAAUUUGCCUUUAUGAGGGGGAUAACAGCUGUAAACGGCUGCUAAUACCCCAUAUGCUUUCGAGUGAAAUGGGUUUCCGCCUAAUGAGAAGCUUGCGUCUGAUUAGCUUGUUGGUGAGGUAAAAGCUUACCAAGGCGACGAUCAGUAUCUGGUUUGAGAGGACGAUCAGACACACUGGAACUGAGACACGGUCCAGACUCCUACGGGAAGCAGCAGUAGGGAAUUUUCCGCAAUGGGCGAAAGCCUGACGGAGCAAUACCGCGUGAGGGAUGACUGCCUAUGGGUUGUAAACCUCUCUUUUCAGGGAGGAAUAACUGACGUGUACCUGAAGAAUAAGCAUCGGCUAACUCCGUGCCAGCAGCCGCGGUAAGACGGAGGAUGCAAGUGUUAUCCGGAAUCACUGGGCGUAAAGCGUCUGUAGGUGGCCAAAUAAGUCAACUGUUAAAUCUUGAGGCUUAACCUCAAAAUCGCAGUCGAAACUAUUAGGCUAGAGUAUAGUAGGGGUAAAGGGAAUUUCCAGUGGAGCGGUGAAAUGCGUAGAGAUUGGAAAGAACACCGAUGGCGAAGGCACUUUACUGGGCUAUUACUAACAC
This 614-nucleotide ribosomal RNA is filed under the name uncultured organism. RNAcentral describes it as "bacterial SSU rRNA". It matches the Rfam family "Bacterial small subunit ribosomal RNA", at positions 100 to 746 of the family's 1533-position model. The record is from RNAcentral.